GUGCUCGCUUCCACAGCACAUACACUGAAAAUUGGAAUGACACAGAGAUGAUUCACAUGGGCCCUGCACGAGGAUGACACGCAAAUCCGUAGAGUGUUCCAUAUUUUU
This 108-nucleotide small nuclear RNA is filed under the name Sciurus vulgaris (Eurasian red squirrel). The record is from RNAcentral. Lineage: Eukaryota; Metazoa; Chordata; Mammalia; Rodentia; Sciuridae.